UACAGAGGUCUCAAGCGUUGUUCGGAUUCAUUGGGCGUAAAGGGUGCGUAGGUGGCGAGGUUAGUCAGGUGUGAAAUCUCGGGGCUCAACCCCGAAACUGCACUUGAUACUGCCUUGCUGGAGUACUGGAGAGGAGAUUGGAAUUUACGGUGUAGCAGUGAAAUGCGUAGAUAUCGUAAGGAAGACCAGUGGCGAAGGCGAAUCUCUGGACAGUUACUGACACUGAGGCACGAAGGCCAGGGGAGCAAACGGG
Molecule: ribosomal RNA, 253 nt
Filed under: uncultured bacterium
Lineage: Bacteria
Description: partial 16S ribosomal RNA
Rfam family: Bacterial small subunit ribosomal RNA
Source: RNAcentral